RNA transcript from Trichomycterus rosablanca, 3279 nucleotides. It is a transcript of the gene named INO80 complex subunit Da, with no coding region annotated. Lineage: Eukaryota; Metazoa; Chordata; Actinopteri; Siluriformes; Trichomycteridae. The record is from RefSeq and is a predicted model, not a curated record. The transcript is spliced from 11 exons.
CAGCAGCCUAGUACUUCCAAUGUUAGCUAAGGGUAUGAAACGUUUUAAUUCACUAUAACUAGAAAUAAUGGCGCACGAUUUUAAAAAUCGGUAUUUUUAGUAGCAUAUGGAGUAGCGAUGCGUGGGUGGUGCAGCUGAUUAUAUUUCCACAGUGUAUCCGGAGUGAAUACGCGCUACAGCCUGUACUAACCGAAGCUGAUGUUUUCAAGAACCAGAGUCACGUGAUGUAUGAGGGGAAACACAUACACUUCUCGGAGGUGGACAAUAAGCCUUUGUGCUCAUACAGCCCAAAACUUUGCAAGCAGCGCAGACUAAAUGGAUACGCCUUCUGUAUACGACAUGUUUUAGAAGACAAGACCGCUCCCUUCAAACAGUGUGAAUAUGUGGCCAAGUACAACAGCCAGCGAUGCACCAACCCCAUCCCCAAAGCUGAGGACCGCAGAUACUGUAACAGCCACUUGCAAGUUCUGGGCUUUAUUCCCAAGAAGGAGCGUAAGAAGAAACAGGAUGCGCUGGAUUCUGUAGCACUGAACAUCACCGUCCCCUCUCUGGCACUCAGAGUCUCCAAUGGUCUGGAUGUUUUGCCUCCGUCUCCACCGUGUACCCGCCUGACCCCCCUAACAUUGCCUGACCCACACCUGCUUGACCCCUUUGCCUUCUUCGAGGAGGACUUGGAUGGAUCGGAUAACACCACACACAAGGACGCUCUCCUUAAGAAAAAAACUGCGAGUCGGCUAGCGCUCAGUCAGCAUGGGUCAGUUCACGACAGUGACAGUACUCCCCCCACAUCGGAGCUGUUAACAUUUGGCAAGGUGGCCGGCACAUUACCCAAAUCUCCACACCUCACAACACCAGCACCUCCACCACCACCACCACCCCCACCCCAGCAUGCUGGUGUCUCCACUUACAAGCAGGGGGCAGCACAGGCUGUGCUAUGCAAGCAAGCGCCACCUCAGCCUGGUGCCUCACAGCUGCCCUCUGUGCCUCAAUCAGCAGGCCAGCAGUUUCGCAAAACCUUCCUCACAGCCCCCAGUCAACUACCUACUGGUGCCCAGGAGUGCCCACAGAGACAUGGAGUGGUCAUGCGUCCCACUGCCUUUACAGCGCCUCCUGCCUGUCUGUCGAGGCUACAACAUCUGGUGCAGCUCUGUGCCCAAAGACAUAAAGAGCACAAAGACCUCUUCCCUCAUCUUGGGCUAGACUGGUCUGAAGACAGUGCUGAUGAGGAUGAAAUAGAGGGGAGAAUUCCUUUAUUCUCGAAGACCUGGAGGCUUCAAGAUAAAAGUCCUGACCACCACGCUGGUAAUGAACAUGUGGAGCCUCGGCAGUCUCGGCUGGCUGGACUAUGUUCGUACCUACAGGACCGCUACAAGCACCUCUGCAGGCAGGAAAGAGCUGCCACUCGUCACAAGAGAUACAGAUAUGCCUUCAGGAAAGCUCUGCUUCAUGCAGCCAGCAAGGACCCUGACUGCACGGGAGAACUUAUCCAGCAGCUGAGCAAAACUUCACACACUUCUGAUAGGCCUGAGAUACAACAGAAAGUCAAAAAAUCAGUGUGUACGGGGAAUACAAAAGGUCAACCCUGCAGUAACCCAUCUCUUCCUUUUACUCAGAACUGCUUUCAACAUAUCCUGCUAAAUCGUUCACAGCAGCUCUUCUCCAGUUGUACAGCUCGAUUUGCUGAUGGCCAGCAGUGCUCUGUCCCAGUUUUUGAUAUCAUACACCAGACGCCUCUCUGUGACGAACACGCCAAGAAAAUGGAUAAUUUCCUUCGUGGGGACAGUAACAGGCGGGUGCAACAACGACGGCCUCGGAAAAAGACCAAACCACCAGCGUUAACAAAGAAACACAAAAAGAAGCGAAGAAGAGUCGUGCGGCGCCCUCAAAAGCCCAUCCCUCCAGCUUUGCCGCAGGGCAAUUUGCCCAUGCCACCUACAUUAGCAUCACAAAGCCAUCAUGCCAGCAUCAGGAGUCCCUCUACACCUGACCUCAGUGCAGAUGAACUUCCUGAUGACAUUACUACCGACAUAGCAGACAUUCCUAACGAUCUGGAGUUGAAUCAGGAGGACUUCUCGGAUGUGCUGCCCAGACUGCCAGAUGACCUUCAGGACUUUGACCUGUUUGAGGGUAAAAACGGUGAGUUGCUGCCCACUACUGAAGAGGCAGAGGAGCUUGUUCGGGCGCUACAGGCCAUGGGCUCGUAUACUGACUCCUUGGUUUGUUUGAACUCCAUGGCUGAAUUGGCUCCAACUGAUGACCAUCGUGCCAUGAGCGUCUUCUCUGGCUCUGGAGUUACGGCGGCAGCCAUGGGCGACCUUUUAAACAGCAGAAUAACAUCAGACACUUUCCCCAACCUGGAAUUGGAGGACAAUCUUCUUCAUCCAUCAACAGAUGAGCAUUUUCCUCCAUCCCUCUCAUCUCAGCCACAUCCAGUCACUGCUUCAUCACCUGCCGCAGGCUCGACCCGGGCGCUGAACGACCGGACGUUUUCUCUUUCUUCUCUCUCUAAACCAGAGCCUGCACUGACCUCUUCUCCUCCAAACAGCCAUUACAGCAGUGACCAUGUUCCAUCUCCCUACUGUGACCAUAUCUCCUCUCCUCAUUCUGCCUCUUAUCAGACUGAGCCUCCUCUCCUGCUGGAGGUGCCUCUCAACGGAUUACCAGGCACUCCCCGCUCCUCCUGGAGCAACCUCGCCCUCUCCCUGACAGAUCCAGUACAGUUUGGAAACCUCCUCACAUCGGAUGCUCAUCUUCUCUCCACCUCUCUGUCCACACCUCCCUCCAUCACACGCUCACCCCCUGCUCCAUCGUCCACCUCCUCUCCAACAAACUCCCCCCGAGACCUGCUCAGCUCGAGCCAGCCCAAACUGCAGCUUCCACAAUUCAGUGCAGCCUUCGGCCACCAACUGGCCUCCCACAGCGGCAUCCCGAAAGACGUGCAGCCCAGCCACAGUUCCAUGGCGCCCCCUACAGGCUUCACAGCCACCAGUGCCACCACUGCAAGUGCCAACAAUUCAGCUCAGCCGAGCAAGUAAAAGAGAAGGAUAGGUAUACACCUAAACCAAGAGCAACAUCAUUUAAAAGCAGUGUGGGAGAUUGGGAUGGCUUUUUCUCUUGUGCUGAGUUCAGUGUCUCCGUUUCUAAUUAAGCCCAGAACAGACGCUCAGACGAAGCCGACUCAGUGAACCGAUCCUGGGCUGUAGAUUUCCUCUUCAGAGAACUCACAGACAUGAGAACAUACGAACCUGGUUACUCAAAGCAAUAAAGAUUAUCAACAUA